Long non-coding RNA from Orbicella faveolata, 1374 nucleotides. NCBI's taxonomy places the organism in Eukaryota, Metazoa, Cnidaria, Anthozoa, Scleractinia, Merulinidae. The record is from RefSeq and is a predicted model, not a curated record.
AGCAGAUAGCGUGAGACUUUCGAGAGCACCCGGAGGAUAUCCCAAUUCCUGUCCCUUAACAGGCCGUCCAAAAAUUGUAAUUUUACCACUAUUAUGGAAAGCUGACAAAUCGGAAAAUGACAAAUUGACAAUGGGAAAAUGACAAAAUUCGGGUAACAUUAGCUAGCAUGUGUAUUACCAACAGUAUCUCUAGUUUUCGGUCUUUGAGCCGUAUCCAUUUUAAAAGAUCGCAAUUAGCAAAGUUGAUUUCAUGACUAUCUUCGCAUAAACAUUCCGUCGACAAGCUGCAAAUCAAAUCUCUGAACAAUAAGCUGCCAAUCUGCCAAUCUUGAAUGUUGACGUGAUGUCACAUCCGGUUGCCUAUCCCAUCAUACACCAAAAGCACAAUCUAAGAUCACGUGUCCAGCAUGAUGUCUUUAAACAUGUGGCGGGCGUUUCGUGAAAGCCAGCAGGCAACAGUUUCUGAUGUUUGCCAAGAGAACAAAUCACCUGACUCAAAUCAAGGUCUGAAUCUUGCACUGUUAAAGGCCUGAACACUAUCAAGCUGACGGUUGGAUGACACAGUCUUCUCACUAGGAGCUACCCACCUUUAAUGACAGCUCUGUAGUAGAAAAAGGUUCUCAGCAGUUUGUAUGACAGAUAGAAAAUGGAGAGGCAACAAUAAAGUCUAUGUACUGUCACUUAUAUGGAAAAAGAAUUCAUUUUGAGGCAUUUAGAUUAGAUUUCACUUGGUAUAAGGUGAGUCAUGAUUUCUCUGUGUUUGGUUGGAGUGGUUGUUAAUAUAUAUUUAUCACUUUUGCCAUCUUUACUAGGAAUAAUAAAACACAAUGAAGGCAAAAAUGAAAUGAACAGGGAAGUGGUUAUUUCAAUGUUCUUCAGCUAUUCCAAGAAUCUAUUGUUACUUGUAUGUGAGGAAAUAACCUAGCCAUGCCUGGGGUUCCAUUGUUGAUGGAUGUUCAUACAUGGGAGGAGGGACCAGUUUCUUUCCACUUUAUAUAUCAGUACUUCCUUAACCAUUAGGCUUUUUGCUCUUUAGUACUUACAGUAAGAAUUUGUUAUUGAGGAAAUUGAAGAGGCACAGUGGUCUAAUGGUUAGUGCAUUGGACUGCGCAUCAAGCAGUCUUUGGUUUGUUCUUGGGCAAGACACUUAACUCUCACAGUGCCUCUCACCACCCAGGUGUACAAUUGGUACCUGUACUUAGAGAAUUCAAUGCUGCCAAGGGCUUACUGUACCCUGCAACAGACUAGCAUCCCAACUAGAGGUUGGAGGGAGAGAAAUACUUUUAUCACUUGUAAUUAUGCUUCCAAAACCUGCACAGGCUGAAGUGUUUUGGAUCACUUGGUCUGACAUAGAUUCUACCUUACCUUCAUUGU